AUGGGAUUUAAGGCCCUUCCACCCAAACCACAGCAUGACUCCACGAUAUGGAAUGUGGCGUGCAUUUUCUCUCGCCUGUGCAUGCUAAACCUGAAUUUUAGCACCGACAGAGGCUCCUGCACCUCUCACCCCUCCCUGACCUCGAUCCCAGCAGAGCCUGGAUCCCCAAAAUUGCCAGAACAGGGAGAAGAUAAAAACGGGGAGCUGCCCUUUGCCCAGCUGUCCCCUCCCGUGUCCUUGUCCCCGGUGACCCCAGAGCCUCCCCCUUCCCAUCCCCGUGCCCGGGACUCCUCUCCUCCCUCCGCAGCUCCUCCCGCAGCCGCGAUUUGCAGCUCCAGACGCAUCCUGCGGCCACACGCAGAGCCAAUAAUCACUGGACAGAGGGAAUUCUGCAGGGAAGGGGCUGCGCUGCCUCCACCCCCGGAACUGGAUUGAACCUGAUCCUCAUUAGCCUGAAACCCAUUUCAAUUCAGCCAGGCCGGGCUCCUCCUUUGUCUUUCCUUUAACUGGACGCUCCCGCUGCUAAAUGGGCAGCGUGACCACGGCCAAGGCCCUGAGAAAAGGGGUUGGGAAGUGCAGGAAUAACAGAAUUCCUGGUAAAUAAGGGGAAUAAUCAGGCUCUUCCUCUUUGUGGCCACCCCCGAUUCCUGGCGCUCACCUCCCAUCCAUUUCUUCCCCUCUGUGGGAUUUCAUGGGCCCGGUCCUCAUUCCUGUCCCCAUUCCUGUCCCCAUUCCUGUCCCCAUUCCCCCAUCCCCUGUUCCUAUUCCCUGUCCCCAUCCCCUGUCCCUUCUCCUUCUCCUCCCUUUGGCCUUUGUGCCCGGCCUGGAAAUUCCUCCCUAAAAGGAGAAUAUUGGGAAUUCUCUGCUCUUUAUCUCAUGCACUGAGAUAAAUGUGUGACGCAACUGGGGACCCACACAUCAAUUAAUUAAUUAAUUAAUUGGGCUGUCACGCACAAAUUAAUUGGCCGACACCAAUAAAUUAAUUCUGCACCCAUGCA
Molecule: long non-coding RNA, 998 nt
Filed under: Junco hyemalis (dark-eyed junco)
Lineage: Eukaryota; Metazoa; Chordata; Aves; Passeriformes; Passerellidae
Description: lncRNA (ENSJHYG00000006175.1)
Source: RNAcentral